RNAcentral lists this unclassified non-coding RNA (341 nucleotides) under soil metagenome. Its description in RNAcentral is "partial contains 5.8S ribosomal RNA, internal transcribed spacer 2, and large subunit ribosomal RNA". The stretch from base 1 to 120 matches the Rfam family "5.8S ribosomal RNA", at positions 35 to 154 of the family's 154-position model. The record is from RNAcentral.
GAUGAAGAACGUAGCGAAAUGCGAUAAGUAAUGUGAAUUGCAGAAUUCAGUGAAUCAUCGAAUCUUUGAACGCACAUUGCGCCCGCCAGCACUCUGGCGGGCAUGCCUGUUCGAGCGUCAUUUCAACCAUCAAGCCCCCAGGGGCUUGUGCUGGGGCCCUGCGGCUGCCCGCAGGCCCUGAAAACCAGUGGCGGGCUCGCUAGUCACACCGAGCGCAGUAGCACAUCUCGCUCAGGGCGUGCGGCGGCUCCUGCCGUGAAACCCCCCACUGUAACCCCAAAGGUUGACCUCGGAUCAGGUAGGAAUACCCGCUGAACUUAAGCAUAUCAAUAAGCGGAGGA